CCUGCCUCAGUUUCCCGCCCUGCUCCCAAGCCGAGGCCCCGCGGGGCGCAGAGCCGCUCCUGGGCUGGCACGUCCUGGGGGCACCGGGCUGCAAAGACGUCGAGGAUGGAGAGUCCACCACCUCCCUGGGUACCCGGUUCCAGUGCUUCACCACCCUCCUCGUGAGAAAGUUUCCCCUGAUAUCUAACCGCAGCUUCCCUUGCUGCAGCUUGAGCCCAUCGCUCCUUGUUCAGUCAUCCGCCCCCACCGAGAACAGCCCAGCUCCAUCCUCUUUCCACCCCCACUUCAGGGCACAGGCACAGCUUGGGCCCCAGAGAGGUCAUAAACCAUGGGGAGCCUGGCUGCAGAGACAUUUGGGGCAAGACAACUUCUGCUUCUACAGUCCGGGCCUUGGCCUCUCCAGUGAGACAACUGAUACAGGGGAGCAUCUGCAUGCCCACCGGGGAGGAUCAGGGCAGCCACAUUUCAAGCUCCCUUGGGGGCAGGGAAGAGUUGAGCUGGUGGUGGGGCUGGGAUGCUGGAAGACAUUUGUUUUUGUGACUGCCAUGCAAUUACGGGGGGCACAAAGCCAUGAGCCGUGGCUCUGCUAACCCAGUACCAAGGGCCCCGCGUAUCCCCGCCCUCUCCUUUCCAGGCUACACCAAAAAGCCGUGCAUUCUGCUCACUGCUGCCUGCAACGUUCCCCAAGAGUCUGGAGUUGAUCAGAGGCCAUGUGGCAGCUGUUUUAGCUUCUCAGGCCCCACUGGGGGUGCAUUUGGGUCCAACCUACAGCAUCUCGGUCUAAGCACUGCCAGUCUAAGACUCUUUCAGAAGCCAGUGGAGCAGUUUUUCUAGUGGCCUUUUCCCACCUCAUCACCCCUGGGCCUUGAUCACUGCUGAGCCAGGCAGAACUGGACCAUGUUUGGAGUUCAGGGCACAGCUCUGUGGCUGACUGCGAUGCAAAAGAAGCAGCACCUGGGAUUGGCAAAGGAGGUGAAUGGGUUCAGAUGCCCCCUGUCAACGGGACUGGAGGACCUGGGUCACUUCAGAACCAGCCUUCCCCAAGUUCCCUCGGUCUGGCUGACCGGAGUCGGCUUAAUCAGGGAAUUACCUGCCAGCAGCGAGAGCCGCAGGUUGCCCAAGGACGGAAGUGCCGUCCGCAGGUCACUCUCCAGCGUGGCACAGCAGAGCCUGGUUGGCAGGGCAAGGAGUGGGGUGGCAGUGGAGACAAGGCAGCUCAGGUUCAGCCCCGGCAGGGAAUCCAGCGGGAAUCAUGAACUUCUCAACUGAUUUCAAACCCAAGUGGCUGCCUCUGUUCUGCUGCUUGACCCACGGUGCCUCACUCAGGCAGAUCCAGGCAGUUGUGAAUGCCCCUGCUUGCUGCGUGGGGGGCACUGUGGGAAGGGAAGCAGGUAGGACAUUACUCCCCAGUCAUUCCUUUGCAUUACAGCCAGUAGCAGCUACUACAGCCCAGCCCCUUCUGCUGCUAGGGCAGCGACUAGCUGAAGGUCUGAAUGUGGGAUGUGCUCUGGGUAGAAUGCCCUUGGCGGAGCUCUGUGGUGGGCCCAGCAGUGAUAGGGCCCACCAUAGAGGACAGAAAUGCUGAGACCGAGGAAAGAAGUGCAGGGGGCACAACAGAGCAGGCAGAAGUCUGCAGGAGCUGACUGCUGGGGCUGUGCCAGUGGUCUGUAGCUGAUGCUCUUGUGUCUGUAAGGAGGGGGCAGACCAACCAGCAGUCAGGGUGGUGAGGAACAAGGGCCAUGUGCCCUGAGGGGGGAGGUGGGGAAGUUUCUUCUGAUUAAAGCAAAUGUUCUGGGGGGACUCAGCAGCUGUGCAUCCUGCAGAGACUCAUCCAGCUGGGACAGAGGACCAUGGUCUUGAUUCUGGUCCUAGCAAUGCCACCAAUUCCCUGCAUGAGCCCUAGGUCGGUCACAGGUGGCUGCAAGAAGCAAGAACAGGCUGGCUCAGGAGGGGCAUGUUUGCUGCGCCUUGAGAUCUUUCCAGGAAGCAUCCUACAAGUGCUUCCCUUGUGCAGGGCAGGGCUCUCCUCCCCUAGCCCAGCUGCAGAAGAGAAUGGGAAGGUCCUAGAAGAGCUGCUGCACAUACAGCUCCUCAUUGCUCAACCAGAGUCACAGUGGUUCCCUGGCUGCUCCGGCUGUUGUAGCUAAGAACCAGGGUUCUUUGCAGUGCUCCUCCUGUGGCCUCGCAUGUGGGACAUCAGGGGGAAGAGCCAGUGCCUCCAUGGGUGGAAAAGCUUCCAUCAGGCAUGGUGGAUGGGAGCCCAGAGGCUAGGACCAGCAGCUGGAGUAAAAACAGGGCCCUGAGAAAGCUCUAAACACUCCUUCCCCCCCAUCCCAAGUGCCCCCAUGCUAAUUUUGCUCGAGGGGUAGAAGCAGCCCACCACACACCCCCAGCCUGCACGCAGGAGCGUUGUGCUUUCGCCAUCAUGUUCCUUGGCACUCUGGUAUUUUACCAUUGGAUGCAUUAAGGCUUCUUCUGCUAUUGCUACAUAGGGAUCUGGAAGCUCUGGAUGCCAGGGGUAUUAGCUGCAAGCUGCCUGCUAGUCAGUCCUGGAUGUCCAGGGCAGGCCUCCCCAGCCUGUGCUGAAAGCAGCAUCCUAGGCAGAGAGGGCAGGAACAGACAUGUCCUGGGGCCACAGGGGCCUGUCCCAACUCGGCCUCUGCAGAUCCCAUGGUACUCCAACAGCCUGUUCAGAAAACCUGGCAGCAAUGACCCUGCCUUAAGAGCCAAGUCAGGCAGACUCAAGGCUCUCCUGGAGAUGUUCCCACCACCAAGACUGCUCCUUUGCAGUGGGAGACCAUGGGGGCUGAGCUGUUUGAGAUGGCAGCCAGGUGGAAAGGAGAAGCUUAUCGCUCCUUCUGGGGACAGUGACAAGGGACAGCUGCAUCGUGGCCCUCCUCACUCCCCUCCACACCAUGGGUCCUAGCACGAGCCAUUGGUGAACACAGAGCAGCUGCUCUACUGGACCCAUCUGUGCACCAUCCCCCAGACAUCCUGCACUGCUGCAGGGGCUAAAAGCAACACUGUGGGUUAUUUGCACUGUUGGAAAAAGCCCAUCCUCAAAACUCUGUCCCUUCUCAUGGCACCUGCAAUCCAACCAUGUUUGGGGGGAGCACAGCAGGUCUAUAUCCAUGACCUGGUCACCCCAAGCUAAUAUUUCUCUGGAAAGCCAAGCAGGCGCAGUUGUGAAUGAAGGGGGGACUUAUCAGAGAACAGCACGCUGCACAUGGAAUGUAUAUUCAUAUAUAGUAAAAAGUCUUUAUUAAGAAGGCUUUGAAGUCAAAAAAUAAAACUCUUGAUACAAUUUCAUAACCGUCAAGUCAGCUCAGCAAAUAUAUAAUCAGUACUUUAGCCAUGUAAGGUCAAAGGUCCGUUAUUUUCUUUUAAAAUAAAAUAUAUUUUAGUUUUUAAAAUUUAUUCAAUAAAGUCCAUAUUUCCCUAUAAAUUCCCUACAUAUACAGAAGAGGUAAAAAAUAAAAAAAUAAAACUAAAAAAAAAAAACAAAAA
Alligator mississippiensis (American alligator) is the source of this 3507-nucleotide long non-coding RNA. RefSeq lists it as uncharacterized. Lineage: Eukaryota; Metazoa; Chordata; Crocodylia; Alligatoridae. The record is from RefSeq and is a predicted model, not a curated record. The transcript is spliced from 3 exons.